Molecule: ribosomal RNA, 387 nt
Filed under: uncultured bacterium
Lineage: Bacteria
Description: bacterial SSU rRNA
Rfam family: Bacterial small subunit ribosomal RNA
Source: RNAcentral
AUUGAACGCUGGCGGCAUGCUUUACACAUGCAAGUCGAACGGUAACAGGCCUUCGGGUGCUGACGAGUGGCGAACGGGUGAGUAAUGCAUCGGAACGUGCCCAAUCGUGGGGGAUAACGUAGCGAAAGUUACGCUAAUACCGCAUAAGCCCUGAGGGGGAAAGCAGGGGAUCGCAAGACCUUGCGCGAAUGGAGCGGCCGAUGUCAGAUUAGCUAGUUGGUGGGGUAAAGGCUCACCAAGGCGACGAUCUGUAGCGGGUCUGAGAGGAUGAUCCGCCACACUGGGACUGAGACACGGCCCAGACUCCUACGGAGGCAGCAGUGGGGAAUUUUGGACAAUGGGCGCAAGCCUGAUCCAGCCAUGCCGCGUGAGUGAAGAAGGCCUCGG